RNAcentral lists this long non-coding RNA (287 nucleotides) under Manihot esculenta (cassava). Its description in RNAcentral is "long non-coding RNA (MESC_LNC001333)". Lineage: Eukaryota; Viridiplantae; Streptophyta; Magnoliopsida; Malpighiales; Euphorbiaceae. The record is from RNAcentral.
CGAAAGUCAAGUUCGGCCGCCGAACAUUGCAUGGAUGCGGAGGCACAUUCGGCCCCCGAACGUGGCCUGGCCAGCCACCUAUAAAAGGGGCACUUAGCCGAAAUGGGCGAGCUUUCUCCCAUUUUCGGCCACAGUGAGCUUCCGACCUUCCCUUUGCAAAUCUUGUGUUCUUCCUCCAAAUCUCUUCCAUUUUUAUUGAGUUUUAAACUCACAUUGCAAGUUUUGAGCAUUUAAACCAAGUUUUGGAGCUUUGGAAACUCAGGAGCCCAUUUGCUUGGAUCUCCGAG